GACGAACGCUGGCGGCGUGCUUAACACAUGCAAGUCGAACGGAAAGGCCCUGCUUUUGUGGGGUGCUCGAGUGGCGAAAGGGUGAGUAACACGUGAGUAACCUGCCCUUGACUUUGGGAUAACUUCAGGAAACUGGGGCUAAUACCGGAUAGGAGCUCCUGCUGCAUGGUGGGGGUUGGAAAGUUUCGGCGGUUGGGGAUGGACUCGCGGCUUAUCAGCUUGUUGGUGGGGUAGUGGCUUACCAAGGCUUUGACGGGUAGCCGGCCUGAGCGGGUGACCGGCCACAUUGGGACUGAGAUACGGCCCAGACUCCUACGGGAGGCAGCAGUGGGGAAUAUUGCACAAUGGGCGGAAGCCUGAUGCAGCAACGCCGCGUGCGGGAUGACGGCCUUCGGGUUGUAAACCGCUUUCGCCUGUGACGAAGCGUGAGUGACGGUAAUGGGUAAAGAAGCACCGGCUAACUACGUG
RNAcentral lists this ribosomal RNA (468 nucleotides) under uncultured bacterium. RNAcentral's name for it is "partial 16S ribosomal RNA". It matches the Rfam family "Bacterial small subunit ribosomal RNA", at positions 28 to 507 of the family's 1533-position model. The record is from RNAcentral.